This 567-nucleotide ribosomal RNA is filed under the name uncultured bacterium. RNAcentral describes it as "partial 16S ribosomal RNA". It matches the Rfam family "Bacterial small subunit ribosomal RNA", at positions 355 to 915 of the family's 1533-position model. The record is from RNAcentral.
UGGGGAAUUUUGGACAAUGGGCGAAAGCCUGAUCCAGCAAUGCCGCGUGUGUGAAGAAGGCCUUCGGGUUGUAAAGCACUUUUGUCCGGAAAGAAAUCCUUGGCUCUAAUACAGUCGGGGGAUGACGGUACCGGAAGAAUAAGCACCGGCUAACUACGUGCCAGCAGCCGCGGUAAUACGUAGGGUGCAAGCGUUAAUCGGAAUUACUGGGCGUAAAGCGUGCGCAGGCGGUUUGCUAAGACCGAUGUGAAAUCCCCGGGCUCAACCUGGGAACUGCAUUGGUGACUGGCAGGCUAGAGUAUGGCAGAGGGGGGUAGAAUUCCACGUGUAGCAGUGAAAUGCGUAGAGAUGUGGAGGAAUACCGAUGGCGAAGGCAGCCCCCUGGGCCAAUACUGACGCUCAUGCACGAAAGCGUGGGGAGCAAAACAGGAUUAGAUACCCUGGUAGUCCACGCCCUAAACGAUGUCAACUAGUUGUUGGGGAUUCAUUUCCUUAGUAACGUAGCUAACGCGUGAAGUUGACCGCCUGGGGAGUACGUCGCAAGAUUAAAACUCAAAGGAAUUGACA